AACGGGUGGAGCUUGCGGUUUUAAUUGGAUUCAACGCCGGAAAUCUUACCGGGACCGACAGCAAUAUGAAGGCCAGGCUGAAGACUUUGCCGGAUUAGCUGAGAGGUGGUGCACGGCCGUCGUCAGUUCGUACUGUGAAGCAUCCUGUUAAGUCAGGCAACGAGCGAGACCCACGCCCACAGUUGCCAGCGUACUCUCUGGAGUGACGGGUACACUGUGGGACCGCCGCUGCUAAAGCGGAGGAAGGAAUGGGCAACGGUAGGUCAGUAUGCCCCGAAUAUCCCGGGCUACACGCGAGCUACAAUGGUUGGUACAAUGGGUAUCUACCCCGAAAGGGGACGGGAAUCUCCUAAAACCAAUCUUAGUUCGGAUUGAGGGCUGCAACUCGCCCUCAUGAAGCUGGAAUCCGUAGUAAUCGCGUUUCAACAGAACGCGGUGAAUACGUCCCUGCUCCUU
This 456-nucleotide ribosomal RNA is filed under the name uncultured Methanosaeta sp. RNAcentral's name for it is "bacterial SSU rRNA". It matches the Rfam family "Archaeal small subunit ribosomal RNA", at positions 883 to 1338 of the family's 1478-position model. The record is from RNAcentral. Lineage: Archaea; Methanobacteriati; Methanobacteriota; Methanomicrobia; Methanotrichales; Methanotrichaceae.